UGGGGAAUUUUGGACAAUGGGCGAAAGCCUGAUCCAGCAAUGCCGCGUGUGUGAAGAAGGCCUUCGGGUUGUAAAGCACUUUUGUCCGGAAAGAAAUCCUUGGCUCUAAUACAGUCGGGGGAUGACGGUACCGGAAGAAUAAGCACCGGCUAACUACGUGCCAGCAGCCGCGGUAAUACGUAGGGUGCAAGCGUUAAUCGGAAUUACUGGGCGUAAAGCGUGCGCAGGCGGUUUGCUAAGACCGAUGUGAAAUCCCCGGGCUCAACCUGGGAACUGCAUUGGUGACUGGCAGGCUAGAGUAUGGCAGAGGGGGGUAGAAUUCCACGUGUAGCAGUGAAAUGCGUAGAGAUGUGGAGGAAUACCGAUGGCGAAGGCAGCCCCCUGGGCCAAUACUGACGCUCAUGCACGAAAGCGUGGGGAGCAAACAGGAUUAGAUACCCUGGUAGUCCACGCCCUAAACGAUGUCAACUAGUUGUUGGGGAUUCAUUUCCUAGUAACGUAGCUAACGCGUGAAGUUGACCGCCUGGGGAGUACGGUCGCAAGAUUAAAACUCAAAUGAAUUGACGGGGUCAUAGCUGUUUCC
Molecule: ribosomal RNA, 583 nt
Filed under: uncultured bacterium
Lineage: Bacteria
Description: partial 16S ribosomal RNA
Rfam family: Bacterial small subunit ribosomal RNA
Source: RNAcentral